RNAcentral lists this small RNA (115 nucleotides) under Duffyella gerundensis. RNAcentral's name for it is "Erwinia gerundensis Fumarate/nitrate reductase regulator sRNA". It matches the Rfam family "Fumarate/nitrate reductase regulator sRNA". Lineage: Bacteria; Pseudomonadati; Pseudomonadota; Gammaproteobacteria; Enterobacterales; Erwiniaceae. The record is from Rfam by way of RNAcentral.
GCAGGUGAAUGCAACGUCAAGCGAUGGGCGUUGCGCUCCAUAUUGUCUGACUUCCAAUUUGAGUUACUGCAUAGCACCUUUCGAUGCUUGAUGUGCCGGCUUAACGCCGGCUUUU